UGAAUUGCGAUAACUAGUGUGAAUUGCAUCAUUUUGUGAAUCAUCGAGUCUUUGAACGCACAUUGCACUGGCUGCGGCCAGUAUGCCUGUUUGAGUAUCGGAAAGACCCCACCCGCGAAAGCGGUGACUAUGGGCCGUAGCAGGCUGCUUGGCCUCAAAUGCAGCGAGCGGUCGCCAGCCGACGCGCGGGGCCCCACAGCGACAAGCGCAGCAUGCCUUCAACUGCGGACACCCGUGCGACGGCGGCGCAGGCUCCGGCCACCGCGGCACGCGUCUGUCUCGGCAGACGCAGCACCCUCAGCGAUCUCAAAUCAGGCAAGACUACCCGCCGAACUUAA
Molecule: unclassified non-coding RNA, 338 nt
Filed under: uncultured fungus
Lineage: Eukaryota; Fungi
Description: sequence contains ITS1
Rfam family: 5.8S ribosomal RNA (bases 1-100)
Source: RNAcentral